CCUUUAUUUUGUUGAGUCAUAUUAGUUAGAAAUCAAUUUAGUUUGUGUUUUUAAGUGUCUUAAGUCAAGUUAUAACAUAUUUUCGUUCAAAUUCUUCCUUAGUGUUCAAAACUGCCCAGAUUGUGUUUUUAAGGCAGUUUUGAGUGUUUAGGUGCUGUUUUGAGUCUUUUGGUUUGUUUUAGUGUUUUAAAGUAUAGUUUUGCAUUUUUUGAGUCUAGUUUAGUGUUUUAAACUUUGUUUUUACGUUUUCAAGUCAGUUUCC
Molecule: long non-coding RNA, 262 nt
Filed under: Malus domestica (apple)
Lineage: Eukaryota; Viridiplantae; Streptophyta; Magnoliopsida; Rosales; Rosaceae
Description: long non-coding RNA (MDOM_LNC009270)
Source: RNAcentral